This 807-nucleotide ribosomal RNA is filed under the name Candidatus Nomurabacteria bacterium RIFCSPHIGHO2_01_FULL_39_220. RNAcentral describes it as "bacterial LSU rRNA". It matches the Rfam family "Bacterial large subunit ribosomal RNA", at positions 2572 to 2913 of the family's 2925-position model. The record is from RNAcentral. Lineage: Bacteria; Candidatus Nomuraibacteriota.
UUUGGCUGUUCGCCAAUUAAAAAGGUACGCGAGCUGGGUUCAGACCGUCGAAAAGCGAAGCUUUUCGACAAGUAAAAAGUUAUAAAGUCGAAAGUAAAAAGUUUGGCUGAUCGACAGUUUGAACCCUCAGAGGCUAAAACAUUUGCUUUGCAAAUGUUCGCCCGAACCUAGAACAAACGAAGUUUGUUCGGUUUUAGGGAAGAAAAAAUUACUGUUUUAAUCGAAGACAACCAAGUGCAUUAAAUUGCACACACGGCGGCGUCCCGAUGUAAAUCGGGAUGGCAAGCUAAUUUAUAUCGGAGAAAUCCCUAGAACUUUUGUAAACAAAAGUUCGGGCGAUAGUUUGCUUUGCAAAUUAUUUAGCCUACUAAAUUUUUAGGGAUAACGCCGAGGGAAUUCCCAUAAAUGGGAUGCCCGUAGAGACUGAAUGUUAGACAUCCUGAGCUUGUCGAAGGAUGAUGUCACAGUCCAAUCCCACGAGUAAUCGUGGACAUCCUAACCCGAUAGCGGGCGGAUAAAUAGAUGCGUGAGACAGGUUGGUCUCCUAUCUACUGCACUCGUUGAUUCUUGAAAAGAUCUGCUUCUAGUACGAGAGGACCGAAGUGGACUGACCUCUGGUGUGCCUGCUGUUCUGCCAAGAGCAAUGCAGGGUAGCUAUGUCGGGAAUGGAUAACCUCUGAAAGCAUCUAAGAGGGAAGCCAGCUUUAAGAUUAGGAAUCGUUAAGAACCGUGAGAGAUGAUCACGUUGAUAGGCUUUAAGUGUAAGGCGAGUAAUCGCUUGAGCUGAGAAGUACUAAUGUUUCGAUU